GACGAACGCUGGCGGCGUGCUUAACACAUGCAAGUCGAACGGAAAGGCCCUGCUUUUGUGGGGUGCACGAGUGGCGAACGGGUGAGUAACACGUGAGUAACCUGCCCUUGACUUUGGGAUAACUUCAGGAAACUGGGGCUAAUACCGGAUAGGAGCUCCUGCUGCAUGGUGGGGGUUGGAAAGUUUCGGCGGUUGGGGAUGGACUCGCGGCUUAUCAGCUUGUUGGUGGGGUAGUGGCUUACCAAGGCUUUGACGGGUAGCCGGCCUGAGAGGGUGACCGGCCACACUGGGACUGAGAUACGGCCCAGACUCCUACGGGAGGCAGCAGUGGGGAAUAUUGCACAAUGGGCGGAAGCCUGAUGCAGCAACGCCGCGUGCGGGAUGACGGCCUUCGGGUUGUAAACCGCUUUCGCCUGUGACGAAGCGUGAGUGACGGUACUGGGUAAAGAAGCACCGGCUAACUACGUG
Molecule: ribosomal RNA, 468 nt
Filed under: uncultured bacterium
Lineage: Bacteria
Description: partial 16S ribosomal RNA
Rfam family: Bacterial small subunit ribosomal RNA
Source: RNAcentral